GGAGAGAUGGCUGAGUGGUCGAAAGCGCUCGCCUCGAAAGCGAGUGGGCGGGUAGCCCCUGCCCCGUGAGUUCGAAUCUCACUCUCUCCGCCA
RNAcentral lists this transfer RNA (93 nucleotides) under Bacillota bacterium. RNAcentral describes it as "Firmicutes bacterium (anaerobic digester metagenome) tRNA-Ser". It matches the Rfam family "tRNA". Rfam says of the family: Transfer RNA (tRNA) molecules are approximately 80 nucleotides in length. Their secondary structure includes four short double-helical elements and three loops (D, anti-codon, and T loops). Lineage: Bacteria; Bacillati; Bacillota. The record is from RNAcentral.